This 333-nucleotide long non-coding RNA is filed under the name Anolis carolinensis (green anole). RNAcentral's name for it is "lncRNA (ENSACAG00000034706.1)". Lineage: Eukaryota; Metazoa; Chordata; Lepidosauria; Squamata; Anolidae. The record is from RNAcentral.
AUGAACAAGACAAGGUUGCUAAGCGAAGAAUAUUUGUCUCUAGGCCUGGCUGUCUACCCUGCUCACCUUUCUGGCCUAAGGAUGCCAAGGAACAUGCAACACAGCUUGGACUGUUUGCCCCCCUCCACUAACUUUUAUAAGCAUUGUUUCAGAAGUCUCUGCAAGAGCAAUUGGAGCUUGGGAGGGGAAAUCACAGAAGCACCAGCAUUGUUUGGAUCUUGGCCAAUUAUGGGCAGUUACAAACAUCCGACUUACAAACAAUUCGUAAUUAAGAACAGAGGAGAUUCAAAGCGGUGUCCUGGAAGAUUAAACUCCAUGAUCAACUUAGAGUAG